RNAcentral lists this transfer RNA (57 nucleotides) under Triparma pacifica. The record is from RNAcentral. Lineage: Eukaryota; Bolidophyceae; Parmales; Triparmaceae.
GCGGAGGGAUUUCUAUUAGUGGAGGUGCUAUCGCGGACCUUACUCUUUGCGUCUUCA